RNAcentral lists this ribosomal RNA (253 nucleotides) under uncultured bacterium. Its description in RNAcentral is "partial 16S ribosomal RNA". It matches the Rfam family "Bacterial small subunit ribosomal RNA", at positions 524 to 776 of the family's 1533-position model. The record is from RNAcentral.
CACGUAGGGCGCAAGCGUUGUCCGGAAUUAUUGGGCGUAAAGCGCGCGUAGGCGGUUGCCUAAGUCGGACGUGAAAGCCCUCGGCUUAACCGAGGAAGUGCAUCCGAAACUGAGCAGCUAGAGUACGAAAGAGGGUCGCGGAAUUCCCGGUGUAGAGGUGAAAUUCGUAGAUAUCGGGAGGAACACCGGCGGCGAAGGCGGCGACCUGGGUCGAGACUGACGCUGAGGCGCGAAAGCGUGGGGAGCAAACAGG